Molecule: ribosomal RNA, 489 nt
Filed under: uncultured bacterium
Lineage: Bacteria
Description: partial 16S ribosomal RNA
Rfam family: Bacterial small subunit ribosomal RNA
Source: RNAcentral
GAUGAACGCUAGCUACAGGCUUAACACAUGCAAGUCGAGGGGCAGCAUGAUUGAAGCUUGCUUCAAUCGAUGGCGACCGGCGCACGGGUGAGUAACACGUAUCCAACCUGCCGAUAACUCGGGGAUAGCCUUUCGAAAGAAAGAUUAAUACCCGAUAGUAUAGUAUUUCCGCAUGGUUUCACUAUUAAAGAACUUCGGUUAUCGAUGGGGAUGCGUUCCAUUAGAUAGUUGGCGGGGUAACGGCCCACCAAGUCAACGAUGGAUAGGGGUUCUGAGAGGAAGGUCCCCCACAUUGGAACUGAGACACGGUCCAAACUCCUACGGGAGGCAGCAGUGAGGAAUAUUGGUCAAUGGACGAGAGUCUGAACCAGCCAAGUAGCGUGAAGGAUGACUGCCUUAUGGGUUGUAAACUUCUUUUAUACGGGAAUAAAGUGGAGUAUGCAUACUCCUUUGUAUGUACCGUAUGAAUAAGAAUCGGCUAACUCCGUG